RNAcentral lists this ribosomal RNA (253 nucleotides) under uncultured bacterium. RNAcentral's name for it is "partial 16S ribosomal RNA". It matches the Rfam family "Bacterial small subunit ribosomal RNA", at positions 524 to 776 of the family's 1533-position model. RNAcentral also lists the same sequence under 3 other names. The record is from RNAcentral.
UACGAAGGGGGCUAGCGUUGUUCGGAAUUACUGGGCGUAAAGCGCACGUAGGCGGAUCGAUCAGUCAGGGGUGAAAUCCCAGAGCUCAACUCUGGAACUGCCUUUGAUACUGUCGAUCUAGAGUAUGGAAGAGGUGAGUGGAAUUCCGAGUGUAGAGGUGAAAUUCGUAGAUAUUCGGAGGAACACCAGUGGCGAAGGCGGCUCACUGGUCCAUUACUGACGCUGAGGUGCGAAAGCGUGGGGAGCAAACAGG